Molecule: ribosomal RNA, 292 nt
Filed under: uncultured bacterium
Lineage: Bacteria
Description: partial 16S ribosomal RNA
Rfam family: Bacterial small subunit ribosomal RNA
Source: RNAcentral
GUGUCAGCAGCCGCGGUAAUACGAAGGGGGCUAGCGUUGUUCGGAAUUACUGGGCGUAAAGGGCGCGCAGGCGGCCAUCCAAGUCAGGCGUGAAAGCCCCGGGCUCAACCUGGGAACUGCGCUUGAGACUGAAUGGCUUGAGUUCGGGAGAGGAGAGUGGAAUUCCCAGUGUAGAGGUGAAAUUCGUAGAUAUUGGGAAGAACACCGGUGGCGAAGGCGGCUCUCUGGACCGAUACUGACGCUGAGGCGCGAAAGCGUGGGGAGCAAACAGGAUUAGAUACCCUGGUAGUCC